AGGCCCUAUGGGGCGCAGCAGGCGAGAAAACUUUGCAAUGUGCGAAAGCACGACAAGGUUAAUCCGAGUGGUUUCUGCUAAAGGAACCUUUUGUCAGUCCUAGAAACACUGAUGAAUAAGGGGUGGGCAAGUUCUGGUGUCAGCCGCCGCGGUAAAACCAGCACCUCAAGUGGUCAGGAUGAUUAUUGGGCCUAAAGCAUCCGUAGCCGGCUCUGUAAGUUUUCGGUUAAAUCUGUACGCUCAACGUACAGGCUGCCGGGAAUACUGCAGAUCUAGGGAGUGGGAGAGGUAGACGGUACUCGGUAGGAAGGGGUAAAAUCCUUUGAUCUAUUGAUGACCACCUGUGGCGAAGGCGGUCUACCAGAACACGUCCGACGGUGAGGGAUGAAAGCUGGGGGAGCAAACCGGAUUAGAUACCCGGGUAGUCCCAGCUGUAAACUAUGCAAACUCAGUGAUGCAUUGGCUUGUGGCCAAUGCAGUGCUGCAGGGAAGCCGUUAAGUUUGCCGCCUGGGAAGUACGUACGCAAGUAUGAAACUUAAAGGAGUUGGCGGGGGAGCACCACAAGGGGUGAAGCCUGCGGUUCAAUUGGAGUCAACGCCAGAAAUCUUACCCGGAGAGACAGCAGAAUGAAGGUCAAGCUGAAGACUUUACCAGACAAGCUGAGAGGUGGUGCAUGGCCGUCGCCAGCUCGUGCCGUGAGAUGUCCUGUUAAGUCAGGUAACGAGCGAGAUCCCUGCCUCUAGUUGCCACCAUUACUCUCAGGAGUAGUGGGGCGAAUUAGCGGGACCGCCGCAGUUAAUGCGGAGGAAGGAAGGGGCCACGGCAGGUCAGUAUGCCCCGAAACUCUGGGGCCACACGCGGGCUGCAAUGGUAACGACAAUUGGUUUCAAAUCCGAAAGGAUGAGGUAAUCCUCAAACGUUACCACAGUUAUGACUGAGGGCUGCAACUCGCCCUCACGAAUAUGGAAUCCCUAGUAACUGCGUGUCAUUAUCGCGCGGUGAAUACGUCCCUGCUCCUUGCACACACCGCCCGUCGUUUCAUUGAAGUGAGCUUUUAGCGAGGUGACGUCUAAUUGGCGUUAUCGAACUUGAGGUUCGUGACAAGGGAAAAGUCGUAACAAGGUAACC
This 1129-nucleotide ribosomal RNA is filed under the name uncultured archaeon. Its description in RNAcentral is "bacterial SSU rRNA". It matches the Rfam family "Archaeal small subunit ribosomal RNA", at positions 318 to 1448 of the family's 1478-position model. The record is from RNAcentral.